Non-coding RNA from Mycena epipterygia, 95 nucleotides. The record is from the annotation of a GenBank genome assembly. NCBI's taxonomy places the organism in Eukaryota, Fungi, Basidiomycota, Agaricomycetes, Agaricales, Mycenaceae.
GCCUUGGUCGAUUAUUGGAAAUCACCCCAGCUCAAUGCACAAAUGAAACCCUGCCGGUUGAUGGAGUUACGCAGGUUCGAUUCCUGCCCAAGGCA